AAUUUUCCUAACCAAAGCAUUUGGAUGUUUACUAAAAUCUUUUUUGUUGUUGAUGAUUGAAGAAAUGAUGGUCUGCUAGUCACAUUUCACUACAAGCUUUUUGAAGCCCAUAGUCCAAGCAAGGUUGAACCCACUAAGCAUGCCCCAAAGUUCAACCCUAUAUGAUGAGACACAUCCAAUUGAAUGAGAAAAGCCUCCAAUCCACUUGCCAAUGUAGUUCCUUAAGAGACCGCCACAUUCCGCCAUCCUAGUUGCGCCAUUUCUUGAUCCAUUGGUGUUCAAUUUCAACCAUUCCGGUGGGGUCCAAUGUGUGCCUCUUCUCUUCUUCUAGCGUUGAAAGCUCCAUAAUUUCCAGCAAGUGAUGAUAAAAAUAUCUUGUCAAUUUCUGUCCUGAUUAAUCCCAAACUAAUGGGUCAGAUUGUCUUUUACCCAUUAUUUAAAGUUGGUACCGAUUUGAGGUGCGUUGGGCCACAGCAAGUUUGUCCAAAUUGAAGAGACUUUUGGGUAAUUUCUUAAGGCAUUAAUGAUAUCCUCAGCAUGUUGCUCGCAAAGUUGGCAAGUAUUUUCACUGCCAAGAGUUCGAGCUUUCUUUCAUGGAGGUCCUGCCACAUGAAGAAUUUAGCUUUUUGCGGUCCCUUCCAUCUCCAAAUCUAUAUCCAGAGAUUUACCUUGGGUUCUGACCAUGUUGCUAAGGCUUUGUAAGUUACUCCUACUAAAAAGUUCCCAUCUGUUGUGUGCUUCUACCCUAAUUUGUCUUCUUUUAGGUCUUUUGCAGGGGCUGGUUGGGUCGGGAUCUUUCAAACAGUUGUCUCAUCAGGAUCUCCUCUCUUUCUUGGUGCAGAAUUUAAGAAUGUCCACAACUGCACCGGCAAGUGUAUCGGGUCGUCCAAGUAAUACUUCAAGUGAGUGAGAGUCGAUCCCACAAGGACUAAGGAACUAAAUAACAAUGGUCGACUAAUUGGCUUAGUUAGGCGAAUAGAAGAAGUUGGUUUAGUGGUUGAAAUCGCAUAAAACAAUAAACAAAAGUUAAAAAAAAAAGCAAAUAAUGAGUUUAGUGUAAAAACAGUGAGAGAAAAUAGUUAAGGUAUCGAAGAUGUUUACUCUUCCGCAUUAAAAUUUCUUACUAACUAUUUUAACAAUGUAUGAUUCAUUUCAUGGGAAACUGUAAAUGACUAAACCCUAAUGUCUUAGUAAUUUAGUCUCCUCUAACCUUUAUUAACCGCUA
Non-coding RNA from Arachis ipaensis, 1225 nucleotides. The record is from RefSeq and is a predicted model, not a curated record. Lineage: Eukaryota; Viridiplantae; Streptophyta; Magnoliopsida; Fabales; Fabaceae.